This is a long non-coding RNA of Acanthochromis polyacanthus (spiny chromis), 5686 nucleotides long. RefSeq lists it as uncharacterized. The record is from RefSeq and is a predicted model, not a curated record. The transcript has 2 exons. Lineage: Eukaryota; Metazoa; Chordata; Actinopteri; Pomacentridae.
ACACAACAAAACAAAAGAUAUUAAUGAAUUCUUUUCAUCAGUCAUAUGUUAUUUUUACUCCAAGAAGAAAAUGUGAUUGUUGAAACCUUGUCUCCACAAAAAGAUGUUUCUAAACAGACUAACUGAAUCCUUAUAUAAGUUUCGAAAGAAAUGUAAUUUUGUUUUGAAAUUUUAUCAGCUACAGUGUUGUAGGAAAUUUGUGACGUUACGUUAUCAGGAAGUGAAAAUGGACUUUUAUUUUGAAGGUGAUUUCCUCUCUCUCGCUGGUAGUUUCCGCUAACUUUCUUCUUCGGGUGUGUUUUUCAUGAGAGCUGCUGGUCGGAUGCAAGCUAGUUCUACACAGAGAGGGUUUCUGUCAUCCUAGCUCCCGUUCAUUGUUUCUCCUCACUUUUGGUGCCUUGGAAAGCUUCGUCUUUUUACAAGAAUAAAGGAGGAAAGUGGAUUCAGUGAAGAUUACUAAAGCCUGUAAAAGUCAAUCCUGGACUCUAUGUCUUCUUUGGGAUCCUCACCUCAUGUUAGCUAUCUGUCGAACUGUUUACGUCACAGACACAGACACGUAGGACAGAAUAAAAUUAAUGAGAGUUUUAAAGAGCCAUAAAUUCCAGAAAAUGAGGACUGAAGCAAAAGUUGGCACAAACUAAAGUAUAGUUGUAAUCUUGAUUAUAUUACAAAGGCUGUGUCCGAAAUGGCAUACUAACGUACUACUCAUACUAAGUGUGACGUCAAAAUAAGUAUGUAGUGCGUUCACAUUACAUAGUAUAAAAAGAUUGAGUACGCGAGAAAUACCCGGAUGUAUACUAUUUCCGGAAAAUUUUUAAGUAUGCGCGGUGACCACACUAGUCAUACUCAUCCGCCCCAUAAUGCUUUGCGAGCUACCCACCGAAAUGGAAGCCUGUGGCCGGACCGGGGCGAUUUUUAUUUUAUUUUAUGUGGUUAAAGGCAUUAUGGAGGAUGUUUUUUUUUUGUUUAAUUUGUCUGAUUCACAUAAAAUGAAUAUACUGACCUGUAGUGGACUUGUAUGUAUGGUCUCUAAAAGAAUUUAAAAAAACAACAAAAAAAAAAACUGUGGGCAUGGCAGGACCUGAUAAACAUCAGCCAAUCAACGCGCUCGGACCGAGGCGUUUGGUUUGCUCCCUUUCCUGUCAAUCAAAAACCUUCCGGCUCAGGCCGAGUUACGUAGAUUACGUACGCCUUGGACUUACGUGUUUUCUGUAUGUGUUGCUUUGGUAUAGCUUCGUAGUUAGCUGGCGACUUGUUUUGCUCUUCUUUUUUUACAUAAUGGCAGAUAAAGAUCCAGGGGGACCCAGCCGUAAAAGAAAACUUCACGAGUCCUACGCAAGUUUCUGGAGGGGGGCGUUUCUUCGUAAAUGUUAAGAGGGGGGAGGUUAGAGGGGGUGAGGGAGAGGUUGUAUGUGCGCAUGCGCAUGCUACGUUCAAAGUCGUAGGAAAUUAAAUCUCCUCUAAUGCCUUUAAGUAGUCAUCCUAAUCACCCCACAGAUUGAGAAAUAGGCGUUUUCUGACCAACGUUUUAAAUUUGUCAGACGCCUCACAACGUGCUACUGAACGCUAGCAGCUAGUUGCAGCAGCUCGCUUUGCAUACAGAACAAGUAGCAGCUCCCUGCAGUAGCCUGCAGCUACAAUUGAAACGAUUCGCAUAAUCUGGCUAAUAACUGCAUGAGGAGUGCCGGCUUGAAAUUGCCACAUUAAUUAUGCGACUGUUUGUUAGCGUAAAAUCGACCUGAAGCCGGCAAUCAGCCGAGAUAUUUGAUAGCCGUACUUCCGGUUUUUGUCGUCGGAGGCUUGAAAUGCAUUAUGGGAAACGUAGUAGUAUACUACAGUGUGAACGGUUGACAUUCUAAUCAUACUUAUAGUACGUAGUAUACAGUAUAUACUCAUUGAGUAUGUAGUACGUUAGUAUGCCAUUUCGGACACAGCCAUAAUCUGUUAUAUCUUUAUUUUUGAGGACUAUUCCACUCUUUUGUUUCUUGUAUUGCUUCUUCCAGUUCUAAUUUCUAUCUAACAGCUGUAACUUGUAAAUAUCCCUGGUGAGGGAUUAAUUAAGUUAUUUUUUCUUGUCUUAUCAUCAUUUGUAUGCUCUUUUCCUGUUACUUUUGGUUGUAUUUGCUUUUUGCUAUGGUCUCCACACCAAAACUAUGUAGAUAGCUUUAGGAAAAUGUCAGGCUUCGGUUCACACUUUUAAAAAGAUGACUACAUUUGAAGCUUGGUUAACUUUGGACAACAAAACCACUUCAUAAGGUUUAGAAAAACAUCAUAUUUGGGGUUAAAAUACAACAUAUUUAAAGUUUUUCCUCCAUCUUCUGGGUUAUAAGGUGGAAAAUAAUAUCCCAUCAAUUAUAUGAUUGGGUGGCUGAAAAGAAGCAACACUAAAACAAUAAAAUAAACUGUCAAAAUUGUUGAUAAUAAACACAUAUGUAAGAAAAAAAAUGACCACACCCAAAAAAUGUUCCAUUCAGAACCUAACUAAUUACUUGUAUAGAAAUGCAAUUGUGUGCAGACUGGGUUGGUUAGGGGGACAUCGAUUCGUCAGUUUUUGUGCAUUAAGUGGAUUUUAAUGUUGGCCAGAAGAGGUUUUAGUUUUUAUUUAUUAUGUAUAACAGUGUUUCCCUUUUCUGGUUGGUGUUCUGUGGUUCUGUUUUGGAUGGCGCCUGAAAUUUUAGACCCAUGAAUGUUGUUAUCUAGAAAUUUUAACUAUUUUAUAUUCUUUGCAAAUUAUUUUGCAUAGAAUAUAUAAAGACAGAAGUAAACAAUGCAUGUAGUGUUUGAAGCGUACAGCCAGCUGUAAAAGACAAAUAAAUAAACUAUAAAAUGGCCAAAAAAUCAUACUUUCCCCUGUAGCAUCAACUACCAAAUCACAUUUCACUACUUUUUGAGAUAUUUUUUGCAUGUUGUUUUCCAAAGAAUUAGAUUUUUUUUUGGAGGCACAGCAGUUUGUUUUUUCUGUAAAGAAUAUAUAAAAGACAAAAAGUAUGUAAUGUUUGACACAUUCAAAAACAAAUAAAUGAGCUGCAAAGUCUUCAAAAGUUAAUAUUUAUAGCAGUCGGAUUAAAUAUACAAGCAGCCUUAACAACCUUCUGAACAAAAUAGAUCAUUUUAACUCUUUGAGUGGAACAGCAUUUCGACAAAGAAACAAAACAGUAAAUAUGGUAUUUGACAAGAUUCAAAGGCAAAAAAAUAAAUCAGUUUGAAAUGAAAAACUUGUUUAUGAUCCCUGUCAAAAGCCUUUAUUAAACCUAAUUUAAGUUUCAGUAAUUGUUUUUUCAUAGCCAACAAUCCAAGAAACUGAGGAGCUGAAGAAGCUAAACAAUAAGAUCUGUGGCUCGCGGCUCUUUGGCACAUUUUCUUUUUUGGCAUUUGAUGGGAAAACAAAGAGUCUUUCUCAAUUACUUGAUGGUGAUGUUUCAAUGAAGGUGCAGAAAUGAGGAAAAGUUUUCUUUAAAAGCAAACGAAGUUGCCAAAUUCUAUAAAACUUUAAUGGAAAAAAGUCAGAAAAUGGUUCGAAGUUCAGAGUUUUUGCAGCAGGAACUCUGGAAAAGGUUGAUUUGCGGCUCCGUAAUCCCUCAAAAGACAGCAUGUGUGUGACUUACUUUACUCAAGUAGCAAAUUCCCCCCUUUAUUCUGCUCUCAUUCUGGGUUUAGAUUUAAUUUCUCACCCAAAAACACCACUUCAAGCCCUCAUUCGAAUUCAACUCUGCUGUUUUGACAGAUAGAUUUGUUUUGCACUAAAAACGUGCUCAACGACUGGAGGCUUAGAGUCUAGCUCUUAAAAGCAGAGCUCCACAUGGAGGCCUUUAAAUGAGAUAUUUCCCCAACAUGGAUUUAGCCGGGGACAGUUUUUUUUCUGUGGCACAAUAAUGUCCGACCCUCUGCAUAAGUGGAUGCAGUUGCGAACAAAUAAACCCGACAAGGAUGUAAUUUUUAGCCGACUAAUCUCAUGAUCAACCUCCUGGAGAAAACGAAGGAGAAAAGUCUCGGCAGAGUUCGGUCCAGAGGUUAGAGGAGUGGACUUUGCGGCUGGGAGGUUGUUUGAUUGUAUUUCUGGGUUUGUUCUGGGAAAAUCUCCUCUCAGCGGCAGCCUGGAUCCACUUGAAAAAAGGCCGAUUAACCUCCAACUGCUGCAGGAGUCACAGAGCGGUAACAGGUAGAUUGAAAAAGGCUGAGAAGGAGAACGUCUCAACUGAGCUGUGAUGAAAGAGAACGUCUCAAACUAAAAUCUAUUAUGUGUUCAUUUUUACUUAUUUCUCCCCUUUGAGCUGAGAAAAGUUUAGUUUCUUUUCACUCAAACAAACACAAAACCGGAUAUAAAGGCUAAGACAUUGAAUAUAUUACGACUCUAAGAAAUGUUCUGUCAUCCAUCGCUGCUAAUAUAUUUCAGCACAAGAACAUCUUGAAAAUGUUCUUUUGAUUGUUGCGUUGAGAACAUCUGCCUUUAGUUUAGUUAUCAUUGUGAAAAUAUUUUGUAGAAGAACGUUCUAUUACGUGCUUCCACAAAAAAAAGACAAAAUGUUCCAAUUUUAAUAGAACAUGCCAGCAAUGUUUUUAAAAUGUUCUGUACCAUAGAUGUUCUGUCAUCUGAGACCUCGACAACAUCUGGAAAGCACUUUUUGAAUGUUAUUUUAGCAACUAUCUUCAUCUGUUAUCACUGAACACUGUGGGAAUGUUUCAGAGGAGAACGUUCUAUAAUGUGUACCUUCUAGAACAUCCCCAUUACAUGUUCAUAACAUUACUGCCAAAAUGUUCCACCUUUGUCAAUUCUUGACAUCUGGAAAACAUUUUUUGAAUGUUAUUUUGUGAACUUUCUUCCUUUGCUUCUACAGAACACUGUGAGAACGUUCUAUUCCCUAAAACAUCGUCCGAAUAUUGCCACCAGAAUAUUCCACCUUUGCUAUUAUAUCACAUUACAGGAACAUCUUACAAAGAACUUUUUGUUUUUACUGCAUCUUGAGAAUAUUUUCUGAAUGUUCUAUUGAGAACAUCCUUCCUUUGUUAUCAUUAUGUGUGGAAACAACUUACAGAAGAAUGUUCUAUAACGAUAUAAAACUUUGCAGCCACAAUGCUCCAUGUUUAUUAAUAUAUUACAGUACAAGAACGUUUAGCCAUCUCAGAUUUUCAUAACAUCUGUAUAAAACAUCUCAUCUGUCAUUAACAUUUUUAAAAUGCUUUUUUGAGAUUGUUCUUUGAGACAUGGGAACCUUUUAUGGAUUCUAUAAUAUGCACCAUGAAGAGUGUCCUCAAAAUAUUUCCAAAAAUUGAAGCCAGAAUGUGCCAACUUUGUUAAUAUAUUAAGGUACAUGAACGUCUUCUGAAGAACGUUGUGUUGUCUGAGGUUUUGAUAACAUCUGGAAAACACUUUUUGAAUGUUGCCUUGAGAACAUCCUUCUUUUGUCAUUAUUCUAGAAAUGUCUACUGGAAGAAUGUUCUAUAGCAUGUUCCCUCAACAAAAACUCAAAAUGUUUUUUGUCUACCUUUAAUAUAUCACAUUUCAGGAGUCUAUGAAACGUUCUGUGUAAAAACAUUCUGCCAUCUGAAGCCUCGAUAACAUUUGAAAAACAUUUUUUAAAUGUUGAUUUAGGAACUUUCAUCCUUUUCUACAACAUCUUACCUUUGUUAUCACUAAAUGUUCUGUAAUGUGUUCCCUCAAAUAAAAGGCCGUUUGUUCCACCUUUAA